This 923-nucleotide ribosomal RNA is filed under the name uncultured Lactobacillus sp. Its description in RNAcentral is "bacterial SSU rRNA". It matches the Rfam family "Bacterial small subunit ribosomal RNA", at positions 137 to 1045 of the family's 1533-position model. Lineage: Bacteria; Bacillati; Bacillota; Bacilli; Lactobacillales; Lactobacillaceae. The record is from RNAcentral.
ACUGGGAUACCACUUGGAAACAGGUGCUAAUACCGGAUAACAACAUGAAUCGCAUGACUCAAGUUUGAAAGGCGGCGCAAGCUGUCACUUCAGGAUGAGCCCGCGGCGCAUUAGCUAGUUGGUGGGGUAAAGGCCUACCAAGGCAAUGAUGCGUAGCCGAGUUGAGAGACUGAUCGGCCACAUUGGGACUGAGACACGGCCCAAACUCCUACGGGAGGCAGCAGUAGGGAAUCUUCCACAAUGGACGCAAGUCUGAUGGAGCAACGCCGCGUGAGUGAAGAAGGUUUUCGGAUCGUAAAGCUCUGUUGUUGGUGAAGAAGGAUAGAGGCAGUAACUGGUUUCUAUUUGACGGUAAUCAACCAGAAAGUCACGGCUAACUACGUGCCAGCAGCCGCGGUAAUACGUAGGUGGCAAGCGUUGUCCGGAUUUAUUGGGCGUAAAGCGAGCGCAGGCGGAAUGAUAAGUCUGAUGUGAAAGCCCACGGCUCAACCGUGGAACAGCAUCGGAAACUGUCAUUCUUGAGUGCAGAAGAGGAGAGUGGAACUCCAUGUGUAGCGGUGGAAUGCGUAGAUAUAUGGAAGAACACCAGUGGCGAAGGCGGCUCUCUGGUCUGCAACUGACGCUGAGGCUCGAAAGCAUGGGUAGCGAACAGGAUUAGAUACCCUGGUAGUCCAUGCCGUAAACGAUGAGCGCUAGGUGUUGGGGACUUUCCGGUUCUCAGUGCCGCAGCAAACGCAUUAAGCGCUCCGCCUGGGGGAGUACGACCGCAAGGUUGAAACUCAAAGGAAUUGACGGGGGCCCGCACAAGCGGUGGAGCAUGUGGUUUAAUUCGAUGAUACGCGAGGAACCUUACCCGGGCUUGAAUUGCAGACUAAUGCGGCGGAGACGCCGCAGUCCUUCGGGAAGUCUGUGAAGGUGCUGCA